CCUACGGGAGGCAGCAGUAGGGAAUCUUCCACAAUGGACGAAAGUCUGAUGGAGCAACGCCGCGUGAGCGAUGAAGGCCUUCGGGUCGUAAAGCUCUGUUGUUAGGGAAGAACAAGUACCGGAGUAACUGCCGGUACCUUGACGGUACCUAACCAGAAAGCCACGGCUAACUACGUGCCAGCAGCCGCGGUAAUACGUAGGUGGCAAGCGUUGUCCGGAAUUAUUGGGCGUAAAGCGCGCGCAGGCGGUCCUUUAAGUCUGAUGUGAAAGCCCACGGCUCAACCGUGGAGGGUCAUUGGAAACUGGGGGACUUGAGUGCAGAAGAGGAAAGCGGAAUUCCACGUGUAGCGGUGAAAUGCGUAGAGAUGUGGAGGAACACCAGUGGCGAAGGCGGCUUUCUGGUCUGUAACUGACGCUGAGGCGCGAAAGCGUGGGGAGCAAACAGGAUUAGAUACCCUGGUAGUCCACGCCGUAAACGAUGAGUGCUAAGUGUUAGGGGGUUUCCGCCCCUUAGUGCUGCAGCUAACGCAUUAAGCACUCCGCCUGGGGAGUACGGCCGCAAGGCUAAAACUCAAAGGAAUUGACGG
Molecule: ribosomal RNA, 587 nt
Filed under: uncultured bacterium
Lineage: Bacteria
Description: bacterial SSU rRNA
Rfam family: Bacterial small subunit ribosomal RNA
Source: RNAcentral